UGGGGAAUUUUGGACAAUGGGCGAAAGCCUGAUCCAGCAAUGCCGCGUGUGUGAAGAAGGCCUUCGGGUUGUAAAGCACUUUUGUCCGGAAAGAAAUCCUUGGCUCUAAUACAGUCGGGGGAUGACGGUACCGGAAGAAUAAGCACCGGCUAACUACGUGCCAGCAGCCGCGGUAAUACGUAGGGUGCAAGCGUUAAUCGGAAUUACUGGGCGUAAAGCGUGCGCAGGCGGUUUGCUAAGACCGAUGUGAAAUCCCCGGGCUCAACCUGGGAACUGCAUUGGUGACUGGCAGGCUAGAGUAUGGCAGAGGGGGGUAGAAUUCCACGUGUAGCAGUGAAAUGCGUAGAGAUGUGGAGGAAUACCGAUGGCGAAGGCAGCCCCCUGGGCCAAUACUGACGCUCAUGCACGAAAGCGUGGGGAGCAAAACAGGAUUAGAUACCCUGGUAGUCCACGCCCUAAACGAUGUCAACUAGUUGUCGGGGAUUCAUUUCCUUAGUAACGUAGCUAACGCGUGAAGUUGACCGCCUGGGGAGUACGGUCGCAAGAUUAAAACUCAAAUGAAUUGACGGGGUCAUA
This 576-nucleotide ribosomal RNA is filed under the name uncultured bacterium. Its description in RNAcentral is "partial 16S ribosomal RNA". It matches the Rfam family "Bacterial small subunit ribosomal RNA", at positions 355 to 923 of the family's 1533-position model. The record is from RNAcentral.